Molecule: ribosomal RNA, 373 nt
Filed under: uncultured Glomeromycotina
Lineage: Eukaryota; Fungi; Glomeromycota
Description: eukaryotic LSU rRNA
Source: RNAcentral
UUGAAAGGGAAACGAUUGAAGUCAGUCGUACUUGCGGGUAAUCAGCCUUUUGGGUGUGAUUCUGUGGAGCGUGGGGAGUUAAACGCCUUCAUGCCUGCGUAUUCGUGCACUUUGGGUGUACUUGCCCGUGUGGUAGGUUAACAUCAAUUUUGAUCAUCAUAAAAUGGCUGGAGGAAUGUAGCUUCGAUCUCGUAUUGAAGUGUUAUAGCCUUCGGCAGAUGUGAUGAUCGGGAUUGAGGAUUGCAACGGAUACCCUUCGGGGCUACCUGUCUGAUCUCUGAUUGUUGCUCUGGUGCCGAAAGCGUGCUUACGGUUAUCAAAGUCGAUGGUCAACAGGUUAGAACGGGUUAAAUUCGUUAAGGAUGUUGACGUA